AAAUCAAUAAAAAUAUAUUUUUUAAAAAGCUGCUAUUCAAAAGUAUGUAGCCUAAAACUAUAUGGAUGCAUUAAAUAAGCACAUCUAUCCCAGGAGGUUUAAAUUGCAUCACCCUGGGGAAGGCAGUCAAUUUUAUUAUUAUACUUUUUAUUAAUAGACUUUAUUUUUUCAGAAAAAAAUUUUAGAUUUGCAAAGAAAUUGAGCAGAUAGUACAGAAUUCCCAUAUUACCCGCCCCCUUCCCAGCACCCACUUUCCCCUAUUAACAUCGUUCAUGGAUAUGGUACAUUUGCCACAAUUGAUGGCUUGAUAUUGAGACAUUAUUUUUAAUUAAAGUCCGUAGUUUAUUCAGAUUUCUUUAGUUUUUACCUACUGGCCUUCUUUCUGUCCAGGAUCCCAUCCAGGGUACCACGCUACAUUAAGGUGUCUGGUCUUCUUGGGCUUCUCUUGGCUUUCCCAGACUCUCCUUGUUUUUGAUGACUUUGUGAGUCCUGGCUUUGGCCAUUGGGAGCUCUCCGUCGACUCCUGUGCCCCCGUGUCACACCCCCAUCAAUGCGGGCUUUUUGUGUAAACUCCGUUUUGUGAGGACUUUGGCACAAGUUCCAUCUGGCGUCCCUGAGAGUGGACUGGCACCGAUAGUGGGUGUGUCUGCAAGAAUCCGUGCUGCGCCAGCCUGGGCAUGUCUGCUUGUAAAGAGCAGAGCAAUGAAGAACUGAGUACUUCCUGCACCAGCUCCACCGGGCUCCACAAACACCUUUAACAGUGACUAUGGAGAGAUGACAUUGUCUUGUUUGUUUAGUACUUGCUGUAAGUUUUAGUUGUUUAUUGCCUAACUUUUAUGUUUAUGAUGAGGAUAAAGAGCAGUUGGAUAUUUUGAUAAUUACUCAUUCAAUUCAAACAAAAAUUUCCAAUACUUUUCUUUCUAGUUUUUAGAUCGAUUUAAUUGAAGACUAUUAUAAUCUCAAAUUGGGGGCGGGGGGAAGGCUUUGGGUAGGAGUUAAGAACACAAACUCUAGCACAGGACUUCCUUGAUUUAAAUCCUUGACCUUGGGCAAAUUACUCCACUCCCCUGUUCCUCAGUUUUCUCACCUGUAAGAGGGGAAUGCUAAUGGUAGACCUACUUCAAAGGUUUGUUAAUUGAGUUAAUAUACAUAAAUUGAUUAGAAUAGAGCCUGACAUAUAGUGGGUGCUGUGUAAUGGUGUCUGUCAUUAUUAUUUACACCACCUGCUAUGGUAAGAGUGUUUGUAUCUCCCCAAACUUACUAUGUUGAAACCCUAAUUCCCAUGGUGGCAUUAGGAGGUGGGGCCUUUGUGGGUGAUUAGAUCAUAAGGGUAAAGCCCUGAUGAUUGGGAUUAGUGCCUUUAUAAAAGAGGACCCACAGAUCUCUCUCGUUUCCUCUGUCAUGUGAGGAUCUAUGAGAAGUCUGCGACUCCAAAGAGGACCCUCAUCAGACAAUGAUCUUGGACUUCCAGUCUCUAAAACUAUCCUGAUAAACAGAUUCCCUGGUCCUGCAGUCACACCCUGGCUCCCAGCCAUGAGGCUAGGUCAGAUCCUGCCGUCUGCUGCAUGCACUCUAACAAUGAAACAGCCUGUCUCCUGGUCUGGCCAGCCAGAUCUGGACCCAGCCAACCCUGAGGAAGCUCCUGGAAGCAGGGCUCAUACCCUGCCCUCCCUGGCAUCCUCAGAACCCACCGUGGCCUAGCAAAUCCUUGUUGAAGAGAUGAAUGGCCUGCUCUGUUUGGGUGCUGCCCACAUCUAGUCAUAACAUACUACAGCAAAGGGAGGUGGAGGUGUUGAGAGGACAAACUGUGUAAAAGUUAUUUUUCAUCUACGCCACCUGGGGGUAUUUAUGUCUUGUAUUGACACUAGUUAUUUAGAUCUGAACCCACAAUGCCAUAGACAAGAUUUGGGGUGUGGCUUGCCCAGGUCAGAGCAGGGGAAACUGGUCUUGGGAAUGCCAAGAGAACUUCAGGCAAAGUCAACUUAGCUAAACCAGGGAGAAAGACAUCCAUCCAUCCACUGAUUCAUUCAUUCAUUCAUUCAUUCAUUCAAUAAAUGUGUAUUGAGUACCCUAUGUGUCCAGUUUUAUGUUAGACACCCAGA
Long non-coding RNA from Myotis brandtii (Brandt's bat), 2102 nucleotides. RefSeq lists it as uncharacterized. The transcript has 3 exons. The record is from RefSeq and is a predicted model, not a curated record. Lineage: Eukaryota; Metazoa; Chordata; Mammalia; Chiroptera; Vespertilionidae.